RNAcentral lists this transfer RNA (77 nucleotides) under Aeromonadales bacterium. RNAcentral's name for it is "tRNA-Arg". It matches the Rfam family "tRNA". From Rfam's summary of the family: Transfer RNA (tRNA) molecules are approximately 80 nucleotides in length. Their secondary structure includes four short double-helical elements and three loops (D, anti-codon, and T loops). Further hydrogen bonds mediate the characteristic L-shaped molecular structure. tRNAs have two regions of fundamental functional importance: the anti-codon, which is responsible for specific mRNA codon recognition, and the 3' end, to which the tRNAs corresponding amino acid is attached (by aminoacyl-tRNA synthetases). tRNAs cope with the degeneracy of the genetic code in two manners: having more than one tRNA (with a specific anti-codon) for a particular amino acid; and 'wobble' base-pairing, i.e. permitting non-standard base-pairing at the 3rd anti-codon position. Lineage: Bacteria; Pseudomonadati; Pseudomonadota; Gammaproteobacteria; Aeromonadales. The record is from RNAcentral.
GCCCUCGUAGCUCAGCUGAAUAGAGCGCACCCCUCCUAAGGGUGAAGUCGCAGGUUUGAAUCCUGCCGAGGGCGCCA